ACGGGCGGGGCGAGCGUUGUUCGGAUUCAUUGGGUGUAAAGGGUGCGAAGGCGGUCGUCUAAGUCGAAGGUGAAAUGUCUACGGCUCAACCGAGGCAUUGCCUCCGAUACUGGACGACUUGAGUGCGGAAGGGGAGCGUGGAAUUCCUGGUGUAGCGGUGAAAUGCGUAGAUAUCAGGAGGAACACCGGUGGCGAAGGCGACGCUCUGGUCCGCAACUGACGCUCAUGCACGAAAGCCAGGGGAGCGAACGG
RNAcentral lists this ribosomal RNA (252 nucleotides) under uncultured prokaryote. Its description in RNAcentral is "partial 16S ribosomal RNA". It matches the Rfam family "Bacterial small subunit ribosomal RNA", at positions 525 to 775 of the family's 1533-position model. The record is from RNAcentral.